RNAcentral lists this transfer RNA (77 nucleotides) under Citrobacter freundii. RNAcentral's name for it is "tRNA-Ile". It matches the Rfam family "tRNA". From Rfam's summary of the family: Transfer RNA (tRNA) molecules are approximately 80 nucleotides in length. Their secondary structure includes four short double-helical elements and three loops (D, anti-codon, and T loops). Further hydrogen bonds mediate the characteristic L-shaped molecular structure. tRNAs have two regions of fundamental functional importance: the anti-codon, which is responsible for specific mRNA codon recognition, and the 3' end, to which the tRNAs corresponding amino acid is attached (by aminoacyl-tRNA synthetases). tRNAs cope with the degeneracy of the genetic code in two manners: having more than one tRNA (with a specific anti-codon) for a particular amino acid; and 'wobble' base-pairing, i.e. permitting non-standard base-pairing at the 3rd anti-codon position. RNAcentral also lists the same sequence under 26 other names. The record is from RNAcentral. Lineage: Bacteria; Pseudomonadati; Pseudomonadota; Gammaproteobacteria; Enterobacterales; Enterobacteriaceae.
GGGUCUAUAGCUCAGGUGGUUAGAGCGCACGCCUGAUAAGCGUGAGGUCGAUGGUUCGAGUCCAUUUAGACCCACCA